UUUAAAUGUAAAAGUUAAUUACUAAAAUAGUAUUAGUUAUGUUCUUGAAAAUUAAAGAUUUUGGCGGUAUUUUAGUCUAUUUAGAGGAACCUGUUCUGUAAUUGACAAUCCACGAUUAACUUUACUUAUUUUAUAAAUUUGUAUACCGUCGUUAUUAGAAAAUUUUAAUAGAAAAUAAAUUUUUAAUAUUUUAAAUUAAAAAAUAUAUCAGAUCAAGGUGCAGUGUAUAUUUAAGAAGAAAUGGGUUACAAUAAAUUUAUUUAUAUGGAUUAAAGUAAUAAAUGCUUUAUGAAGGUGGAUUUAAUAGUAAUAAAAUUUAUUUUAAUUUUAUGAUUUUAGCUCUAAAAUAUGU
This 352-nucleotide ribosomal RNA is filed under the name Abax pyrenaeus. RNAcentral describes it as "partial 12S ribosomal RNA". Lineage: Eukaryota; Metazoa; Arthropoda; Insecta; Coleoptera; Carabidae. The record is from RNAcentral.